AUGCAGAUAAGAGUUGUUUUUUUUCUUUUUCAUCCAGACUUCAUUAAAUACAUCAAAUUCCAGCGAGUCGACACACCUAGACGGAGCGACAGCAGCGUCUGCGCCCUGCAGACUCCCUCGAUGAGGCUUCGGCGUCGGCCCCUCGACGGGGGACAUGAGACGACAGAACGAAACGGCGCACAGGCAAUGGAGGUAGCAGCACAUCACUGGAUCACAGGACCAGCAAAGGACAUGGCCUCGCCUCCGUGACAGACAAAAACACCAGUGAACAAGCAACGUGACAGGCGUUUCAUGACAGUUGGACGGCGAGGACAACGGAACGGAACGACGCCCGAUCGCAUCGAAAUCAUCGGUUCAUCCGAAAUGACAAGAAAAAAAGAGCACGAAACAAAAGGUCUGGCGUGAGUUGAGCCUCGUGAUCAGACGAGGACCGUCGCGCUCACAUAGUGGGGGGUUUAAUUUCAUAAAGGCCACUGAGACAGCCGAGCUUGCCUGGUGUCUCCGACCCCAAUGCCCUGUUGCCCUUCCGCAUUUCUUGUAUUUUAUUUUUUUUUUUACUUUCCAUCCCCACGUACAAGUAUGCUACCACCUCUCUAUGAUAUUGCACUGAAUAAAGCCUUUGUGUUAGCAGCCAGCAUUACUUCGCAGAAUGCCUCGAGAACAGUGUAGUCUAUUUGAGAUUUUCCUCAAGGGAGCCCAGUGUCUGUUUCCUUGUAUUGACACUGAUACUCCAGAAAAUUGUAUGUUUUUUAUGUAUUUUUGGGGGCUGAGAAAAAGCCCUGUCGGAAAUGUAACUAGACGCUUUGCUUUCACAGCUACCCUGCUUGAAAUAAAUGUCAAUUUUCUUUGACUUGGUGGUAAAGAAAAGAGAGAAAUGUAUGUCAUGAAAAUCCUAGUUUUUUUUUUCUUUUUAAAUAUCUCUUGAUUCAAAAUACAUCACAGUAAUGUGUUUUUUGUGUCUGCAGCUGACCCCCUCGCUUGAUUUUGGCACUGCACUGUACAUAAUCUAGUUGAUUCGUUAGCGAUCACCCAACAUGAAUAAUUGUAUGACUGGUUAUAUUUAAAUAGGCCCACGCAGUCCGGGGGACACAGCUCGCAUCCUCUCUUGUCUGUUGUUG
Scophthalmus maximus (turbot) is the source of this 1118-nucleotide long non-coding RNA. The record is from Ensembl. Lineage: Eukaryota; Metazoa; Chordata; Actinopteri; Pleuronectiformes; Scophthalmidae.